This 366-nucleotide long non-coding RNA is filed under the name Medicago truncatula (barrel medic). RNAcentral describes it as "long non-coding RNA (MTRU_LNC005992)". Lineage: Eukaryota; Viridiplantae; Streptophyta; Magnoliopsida; Fabales; Fabaceae. The record is from RNAcentral.
CCAUAUCUUUGCUGCCCAGAAUCUGCAGCAUAAAAAAUUCAUCCUCCACUCUCCCAUAUUUCAAUUCCCACAUGCAUUCAUCCAUUCACACAUACAUUCAUCUCCCUCAAAACCACUCCAAGAAAAAAUGAAUCUGACUCACAAAAAGAUACUCAUUUUGCAUUUCUAAGUCAUAAUCAAAUUCACUUGUGAACCAAUCUCCAAACAAUUUCUUAAAUAAAUGACAGAACUGAAUCCUACACCUCUAAAAAUCCUGAAUCCUACACCUCUAAAGAUAGAAACUUUGAAUAAAAGGGUUGAAGAGAGGCAAGUUUCUGGGUAUUUUAUGUAGGUGGGUGAGUGUGAGGGAAGAAGAUUUUGCCAUGG